Non-coding RNA from Acanthosepion pharaonis, 109 nucleotides. The record is from the annotation of a GenBank genome assembly. Lineage: Eukaryota; Metazoa; Mollusca; Cephalopoda; Sepiida; Sepiidae.
GGCAAUAUCGCGUUCAAACACCGGCUCGCGUAUGAUUACUGAAGUUAAGCAACGUCGAGCCGAGUCAGUAACUAGAUUGGUGACCGCUUGGGAAUACCAGGUACUGUAA